Molecule: ribosomal RNA, 458 nt
Filed under: uncultured Spirochaetaceae bacterium
Lineage: Bacteria; Pseudomonadati; Spirochaetota; Spirochaetia; Spirochaetales; Spirochaetaceae
Description: bacterial SSU rRNA
Rfam family: Bacterial small subunit ribosomal RNA
Source: RNAcentral
ACAAGCGGUGGAGCAUGUGGUUUAAUUCGACGCAACGCGAAGAACCUUACCAGGGCUUGACAUCCCUGACUGCGUAUGAAAGUACGUUUUCACCUUCGGGAGACAGGGAGACAGGUGGUGCAUGGUUGUCGUCAGCUCGUGUCGUGAGAUGUUGGGUUAAGUCCCGCAACGAGCGCAACCCCUACUGCCAGUUACUAACAGGUGAAGCUGAGGACUCUGGCGGAACUGCCGGUGACAAACCGGAGGAAGGUGGGAUGACGUCAAGUCAUCAUGGCCCUUAUGUCCGGGGCUACACACGUGCUACAAUGGGCGAGACAGAGCGACGCGAAGCCGCGAGGUGGAGCAAAUCGCAGAAAAUCGCCCUCAGUUCGGAUUGGAGUCUGAAACCCGACUCCAUGAAGGUGGAAUCGCUAGUAAUCGCGCAUCAGCAUGGCGCGGUGAAUACGUUCCCGGGCCUU